UACAGAGGGGGCAAGCGUUAUUCGGAAUUAUUGGGCGUAAAGGGCGCGUAGGCGGCUUUGCAAGUGACGGGUGAAAUCCCUCGGCUUAACCGAGGAACUGCCUGUCAAACUGCAUGGCUUGAGACCGGGAGAGGUGAGUGGAAUUCCCAGUGUAGCGGUGAAAUGCGUAGAUAUUGGGAGGAACACCAGUGGCGAAGGCGGCUCACUGGGACGUGACUGACGCUGAGACGCGAAAGCGUGGGGAGCAAACAGG
This 253-nucleotide ribosomal RNA is filed under the name uncultured bacterium. Its description in RNAcentral is "partial 16S ribosomal RNA". It matches the Rfam family "Bacterial small subunit ribosomal RNA", at positions 524 to 776 of the family's 1533-position model. The record is from RNAcentral.